This 344-nucleotide unclassified non-coding RNA is filed under the name soil metagenome. Its description in RNAcentral is "partial contains 5.8S ribosomal RNA, internal transcribed spacer 2, and large subunit ribosomal RNA". The stretch from base 1 to 120 matches the Rfam family "5.8S ribosomal RNA", at positions 35 to 154 of the family's 154-position model. The record is from RNAcentral.
GAUGAAGAACGUAGCGAAAUGCGAAAAGUAGUGUGAAUUGCAGAAUUCAGUGAAUCAUCGAAUCUUUGAACGCACAUUGCGCCCACUGGUAUUCCGGUGGGCAUGCCUGUUCGAGCGUCAUUAUCCUCCCUCAAACCCCGGGUUUGGUGUUGGACCCAAGUUGUGUGAACAACUGGUCUCAAAGACAAUGACGGCGUCCGUGGGACCCUCGGUGCAACGAGCUUUUAGGAGCACGCGCCGAGUUGCAAGGACCUUCCGGGCCGGUCUCCUUUACUAUUUUACAAGGUUGACCUCGGAUCAGGUAGGAAUACCCGCUGAACUUAAGCAUAUCAAUAAGCGGAGGA